GAGUUUGAUCGUGGCUCAGAGCGAACGCUGGCGGCAGGCCUAACACAUGCAAGUCGAACGAUCCUUCGGGAUAGUGGCGGACGGGUGAGUAACACGUGGGAACGUGCCCUUUGGUACGGAACAACUCAGGGAAACUUGAGCUAAUACCGUAUGUGCCCUUUCGGGGGAAAGAUUUAUCGCCAUUGGAGCGGCCCGCGUCUGAUUAGCUAGUUGGUGAGGUAACGGCUCACCAAGGCGACGAUCAGUAGCUGGUCUGAGAGGAUGAUCAGCCACACUGGGACUGAGACACGGCCCAGACUCCUACGGAGGCAGCAGUGGGGAAUCUUGCGCAAUGGGCGAAGCCUGACGCAGCCAUGCCGCGUGAAUGAUGAAGGUCUUAGGAUUGUAAAAUUCUUUCACCGGGGACGAUAAUGACGGUACCCGGAGAAGAAGCCCCGGCUAACUUCGUGCCAGCAGCCGCC
Molecule: ribosomal RNA, 461 nt
Filed under: uncultured Alphaproteobacteria bacterium
Lineage: Bacteria; Pseudomonadati; Pseudomonadota; Alphaproteobacteria
Description: bacterial SSU rRNA
Rfam family: Bacterial small subunit ribosomal RNA
Source: RNAcentral